This 315-nucleotide ribosomal RNA is filed under the name uncultured eukaryote. RNAcentral's name for it is "partial 18S ribosomal RNA". It matches the Rfam family "Eukaryotic small subunit ribosomal RNA", at positions 1470 to 1796 of the family's 1831-position model. The record is from RNAcentral.
CCCUUAGACGUUCUGGGCCGCACGCGCGCUACACUGACCAGUGCAACAAGCAUCCGUCCUUGGCCGACAGGCUCGGGCAAUCUUUGAACGCUGGUCGUGAUGGGGAUAGACUUUUGCAAUUUUUGGUCUUCAACGAGGAAUUCCUAGUAAACGCAAGUCAUCAACUUGCAUUGAUUACGUCCCUGCCCUUUGCACACACCGCCCGUCGCACCUACCGAUUGAAUGGUCCGGUGAAGCCUCCGGAUUGGCGCGCACCUCGGUGCCGCCGAGAAGUUGGCUAAACCUUACCAUUUAGAGGAAGGUGAAGUCGUAACA